Molecule: ribosomal RNA, 253 nt
Filed under: uncultured bacterium
Lineage: Bacteria
Description: partial 16S ribosomal RNA
Rfam family: Bacterial small subunit ribosomal RNA
Source: RNAcentral
UACGUAGGUGGCAAGCGUUGUCCGGAUUUAUUGGGUUUAAAGGGUGCGUAGGCGGUCUAUUAAGUCAGUGGUGAAAUAUGGCAGCUUAACUGUCAGGGUGCCAUUGAUACUGAUGGACUUGAGUGAAGUCGAAGUAGGCGGAAUUGACGGUGUAGCGGUGAAAUGCUUAGAUAUCGUCAAGAACACCGAUAGUGAAGACAGCUUACUAGGCUUAUACUGACGCUGAGAAACGAAAGCUUGGGUAGCAAAAGGG